GAACACCAGAUCCCAUUACAGAUGGCUGUGAGCCACCAUGUGGUUGCUGGGAAUUGAACUCAUAGUAGUGCUCUUUCUUAACUUAUACAGCCCAGGUACUUUUACAAAUGCUUUCCCAGCCUCUUUUUCUACUGCCCAAACACAAAUAUUAUGAUAUAAGUCAUCAAGCCAUGAGGCUCAGAACAGCCUGUCAGUAGGACUUUAUAAAUCCCUGUGGACUGAUAAUCAAACUGCCAUCCUUCUGAAUUCCUUCUGAGCCUGCCUCACACACUCUCUGAACCAAUACAGGAAGAAGCCUACCAGAAUCCACUGCUCAGAUAAUGAGUGGGUAUCUCAAGAUACACAUUACCAUUUCCAUACAGAACUAUGGUCUCUGUGUUUAGAAAACAGAAAAUCAAGAGACUGGAGGUUUAUGGAUGGGGGAAAAUAACAGCAAAACUUCCAGAUGUCAGAGAAAGAUAAGAAAACAGAAACAGGCUGAUCAAAGGGAGAAAGUGGGCAGUAAUGACUUGACUUUAUGAUUCUCAAGCAGGUUAAGUAUAUCAAAUGAGACUCUCACUUGAGCAGGUUAGCCUUGAAUUUCCUUUUGUGGGUGAUGAUGUUACUCACUAGUCUACCCCCUGGCUAGUCUUUGUCAUAGCUUUCAAGCAAGAGCUUUUUGGUAGUAUUGCUGAGGUCAGAUCAAGCAAUCCUUAGUUCUCAGAAGUUCUGCAUCUAACACCAAGGACAGAAAGUAGAAGGAAGAAUAUUGAAGUAGGUUUGCCACAGCAAUCUUUUAGUUCUUGUGACAAGGCAUGUCGUGGGAGUUGAUGGAAACUUCAUUCCUACCUUUUAGAAGCCAGUUCCUUAGCCUUACCUUAAAUUGCUCUAUCUUUUUGCUAUGACACUGAAGACGAUUGACUUUGGAGAAAGAGAAAGAGGUUAUCACUCAUGGCCUUAGAAUGUGAGGAAGGUGUGUGCUUUACAACCCAUGCUGUGCUUUUGCCUGGAAAAAGAAGAUAGGACUUUCUGAAGGCAGAGAUAAGUCCUCCAGGCUCCAGCAGACAGUUCCGUACCCAUGAUCUCUGAGAGACUCUAGGUAAAUUCCCUGGCCACUAAACAAAGACCUGAACCCCAGAAGUGACCCUGUAGGGAGGAGGGACCCCUGACAGGUAUGGAAGGAGAACACAGAGUGGGGGAUCAGAACAGUCAGAAUGUGUGUGAUUGUGGGACUCACUGCAGAGUCACCACAAACUCCGAUUACAGAAAGCAAGGUGCCUGCACAAUGCACUGGAGAGAUGUGUGGGAAUAGGAAAUAAGGAUGCUGCUUCACAUGGCUACACCAGCCUGUGGGUGUGUGUAUGGCUGCUGUGGGAAACUGCAUUUGAGCUGAGUAUUCUUUCAUUUUAAUCAUUGUUUUCCUUUAAAAUGGAGACCCAAUGUCACUGGGAAACAUUCUCACCCUGUAUCUGGCUGCGCUGCUUUGCCUAAGUUGAGCAGAAGCACGAGAUUAACAGCGU
This 1499-nucleotide long non-coding RNA is filed under the name Androctonus crassicauda. Lineage: Eukaryota; Metazoa; Arthropoda; Arachnida; Scorpiones; Buthidae. The record is from RNAcentral.